Molecule: long non-coding RNA, 305 nt
Filed under: Carica papaya (papaya)
Lineage: Eukaryota; Viridiplantae; Streptophyta; Magnoliopsida; Brassicales; Caricaceae
Description: long non-coding RNA (CPAP_LNC011638)
Source: RNAcentral
AUCACAGUGGAAGCACAACCCUUGCACUCGCUGACGAUGUGCUUCUUCCUAAGAUAACCGCUUGGGCAGAGCGGUUGUCAUUGUUAGGGCUCACAUAGGCUGAUCAGGAGAGGAAGAUGUUUGCUGAUUUGGUUGAGUCCACCCCACCCAUCUCAGCCUGUCUUGACGGCCCAACAACUCCUCGCGCAUAUGGGCAGGCUUAUUGCAUCCUUCCGUAUUCUGGGCUUAAACAUCCUUAUGUCAUGUGUGAUUUCGGCCUUGAGACCAUCAAUGAAGGUUCCAAAGAGAGCAUUUUGGGUCCAGCC